RNAcentral lists this ribosomal RNA (479 nucleotides) under uncultured bacterium. RNAcentral's name for it is "bacterial SSU rRNA". It matches the Rfam family "Bacterial small subunit ribosomal RNA", at positions 26 to 518 of the family's 1533-position model. The record is from RNAcentral.
AGGACGAACGCUGGCGGCGUGCCUAACACAUGCAAGUCGAACGGAGUGAUAGAAGCUUGCUCUGGAACUUAGUGGCGGACGGGUGAGUAACACGUGAGUAACCUGCCUUUCAGAGGGGAAUAAUGUUUGGAAACGGACACUAAUACCGCAUAAUAUAUUUGAAUCGCAUGAUUGAGAUAUCAAAGGAGCGAUCCGCUGAAAGAUGGACUCGCGUCUGAUUAGCCAGUUGGCGGGGUAACGGCCCACCAAAGCGACGAUCAGUAGCCGGACUGAGAGGUUGAACGGCCACAUUGGGACUGAGACACGGCCCAGACUCCUACGGGAGGCAGCAGUGGGGGAUAUUGCACAAUGGGCGCAAGCCUGAUGCAGCCAACGCCGCGUGCAGGAAGACGGUCUUCGGAUUGUAAACUGUUGUCCUCUGUGACGAUAAUGACGGUAGCAGAGGAGGAAGCCACGGCUAACUACGUGCCAGCAGCCGC